AAGUCGUAACAAGGUAACCGUAGGUGAACCUGCGGUUGGAUCAUUAGUGGUUUUUACGUAGCGCUGUUGUAGUGUUUCUGUGGUGUUUGGUCUUUGGUUUUGGGUGUUGUCUUUCUUUCUUUGUCUGUUUUUGUGUGAUGCCUUGUGCUGCCUUGUGCAUUGCCUUGUGCGGUGCCUUGUGCGGUGCCUGGCAGAACAAACGAUCGACGGCAACACUCGGACCAGACCCAAGCCCUUGCAGACAAUAGACGUCUUUGCUUGCUUUGAUGAAACCAAAUCAAAAACAACUUUUGACAACGGAUCUCUUGGCUCUC
This 314-nucleotide unclassified non-coding RNA is filed under the name fungal sp. RNAcentral describes it as "partial internal transcribed spacer region". The stretch from base 1 to 46 matches the Rfam family "Eukaryotic small subunit ribosomal RNA", at positions 1786 to 1831 of the family's 1831-position model. Lineage: Eukaryota; Fungi. The record is from RNAcentral.